RNAcentral lists this long non-coding RNA (1091 nucleotides) under Lepisosteus oculatus (spotted gar). RNAcentral describes it as "lncRNA (ENSLOCG00000021434.1)". The record is from RNAcentral. Lineage: Eukaryota; Metazoa; Chordata; Actinopteri; Semionotiformes; Lepisosteidae.
UUUGAACUGUGACUUGGCUUUAGACUGAAUAAGAGAGUUCAGUGGCCGGCCUGGUGGCUCCGCGGGCUGAACCAUCGGGCACUUGUAAAGUUCAGAAAGCGGAUUGACUCCCCCGGAGUCUCUGGAGUUGAAGUCGAGCCCCGAGCCUCCCCGUCAGUCUGAGAUCUAAGCCCCGGGUGUAGCUCUCGUGCUGUCGGGGUGAGUUUGUGGAGGUGGCUGUUCUCUACCACGCCGGCCGUUUUGGGGGGUUCCAUUUUCGGGGCCCUCCAAAACCGGGAAAAAUGGGGGGUUUAAGUCAUUUAUAAAUGCAUAGUUCGGAAUUCAAUUCUAAAAAGCAGCCCCUUAUACCACUGUGACACCUGCAGGACAGGUGUGGCACUAGCAGUGAAAGAGAGGUGCAGUCCUAACUAGGAGCGACAGGGGUCUCUCUCCAGCACAUUUCUCCUGGUUCUAGAGAUCAACCGGCCGCAAGCUGAACGAGUCCGGCGAACAACCAGGGCGAUGUCACUGUAUUCGGGUGUCUGAAAGUCCUCAGCCGUUAUAUACAUUAUAAACGAUUUGGUAAGUUAAGGCUUAUUUUUAUCUUCAGUACCGUGAGUCUUGAGCCCUUGUAACAGAAUCCACAGCUGUCAUUCAGGAGCCGGGCCCGCCCCCAGAGUGACCUUCCUCAGCGGACACGCCCCGUCCACCUGUUCCACAGGUGCGCCCGGCAAGAUGGCGGCAGGGCGAGUGUCUGCGGCGUGAGGUGACAAAAGGAUUUCAAGAACGGGACUCCAGUUUUGGAAAAAUGGUGUUUUCCAAGGACGCCGAAAAGAGUCUCCUGUCCGUUGGAGCGUGCUCUCGAAGUUUUAGAAGCCUGGAUUCAGCUCUGGGACAAAAGGAUUUCAAGAACGGACGUCCACUUAUGAAAGUUUUUUUUUCCAAGUUCUGCGGCUCCUCACGACAUCUCUGCGCUCCGACUAUCUCCUUUCCAGCAACUCGACGAGCGUUGGCAAGUUCUUCUCGACAAUGUGUGCUUUUUCUUACAGUUGAUUUUUGUUACCAGUGGCUUGAUCUGUAAUGUCCCGAUUCAGUGCUGUAUUUUAUUCUUG